Molecule: ribosomal RNA, 495 nt
Filed under: uncultured bacterium
Lineage: Bacteria
Description: partial 16S ribosomal RNA
Rfam family: Bacterial small subunit ribosomal RNA
Source: RNAcentral
GACGAACGCUGGCGGCGUGCCUAAUACAUGCAAGUCGAACGCUGAAGGAGGAGCUUGCUUCUCUGGAUGAGUUGCGAACGGGUGAGUAACGCGUAGGUAACCUGCCUGGUAGCGGGGGAUAACUAUUGGAAACGAUAGCUAAUACCGCAUAAUAGUAGAUGUCGCAUGACAUUUGCUUAAAAGGUGCAAUUGCAUCACUACCAGAUGGACCUGCGUUGUAUUAGCUAGUUGGUGAGGUAACGGCUCACCAAGGCAACGAUACAUAGCCGACCUGAGAGGGUGAUCGGCCACACUGGGACUGAGACACGGCCCAGACUCCUACGGGAGGCAGCAGUAGGGAAUCUUCGGCAAUGGACGGAGGUCUGACCGAGCAACGCCGCGUGAGUGAAGAAGGUUUUCGGAUCGUAAAGCUCUGUUGUAAGAGAAGAACGAGUGUGAGAGUGGAAAGUUCACACUGUGACGGUAUCUUACCAGAAAGGGACGGCUAACUACGUG